RNAcentral lists this ribosomal RNA (431 nucleotides) under uncultured bacterium. RNAcentral describes it as "bacterial SSU rRNA". It matches the Rfam family "Bacterial small subunit ribosomal RNA", at positions 346 to 796 of the family's 1533-position model. The record is from RNAcentral.
AGGCAGCAGUUAGGAAUCUUCCGCAAUGGGCGAAAGCCUGACGGAGCGAUACCGCUUGAAGGACGAAGCCCUUCGGGGUGUAAACUUCUGAACUCGGGACGAUAAUGACGGUACCGAGGUAAUAGCACCGGCUAACUCCGUGCCAGCAGCCGCGGUAAUACGGAGGGUGCGAGCGUUACCCGGAUUUACUGGGUGUAAAGGGCGUGUAGGCGGUCUCUCAAGUCCGAUGCUAAAGACCGAAGCUCAACUUCGGGGGUGCGUUGGAUACUGUGAGGCUAGACGGUCGGAGAGGGUAGCGGAAUUUCCGGAGUAGCGGUGAAAUGCGCAGAUACCGGAAGGAACGCCAAUAGCGAAAGCAGCUACCUGGACGAUUUGUGACGCUGAGGCGCGAAAGCGUGGGGAGCAAACCGGAUUAGAUACCCCAGUAGUCC